GAUGAACGCUGGCGGUGUGCCUAAUACAUGCAAGUCGAGCGAACAGACGAGGAGCUUACUCCUCUGACGUUAGCGGCGGACGGGUGAGUAACACGUGGAUAACCUACCUAUAAGACUGGGAUAACUUCGGGAAACCGGAGCUAAUACCGGAUAACAUUUUGAACCGCAUGGUUCAACAGUGAAAGACGGUCUUGCUGUCACUUAUAGAUGGAUCCGCGUCGCAUUAGCUAGUUGGUAAGGUAACGGCUUACCAAGGCAACGAUGCGUAGCCGACCUGAGAGGGUGAUCGGCCACACUGGAACUGAGAAACGGUCCAGACUCCUACGGGAGGCAGCAGUAGGGAAUCUUCAGCAAUGGGCGAAAGCCUGAAGGAGCAACGCCGCGUGAGUGAAGAAGGUCUUCGGAUCGUAAAACUCUGUUAUUAGGGAAGAACAAAUGUGUAAGUAACUAUGCACAUCUUGACGGUACCUAAUCAGAAAGCCACGGCUAACUACGUG
Molecule: ribosomal RNA, 497 nt
Filed under: uncultured bacterium
Lineage: Bacteria
Description: partial 16S ribosomal RNA
Rfam family: Bacterial small subunit ribosomal RNA
Source: RNAcentral